This 1372-nucleotide ribosomal RNA is filed under the name uncultured bacterium. RNAcentral's name for it is "bacterial SSU rRNA". It matches the Rfam family "Bacterial small subunit ribosomal RNA", at positions 28 to 1381 of the family's 1533-position model. The record is from RNAcentral.
GAUGAACGCUGGCGGCGUGCCUAAUACAUGCAAGUCGAGCGAACGGACGAGAAGCUUGCUUCUCUGAUGUUAGCGGCGGACGGGUGAGUAACACGUGGAUAACCUACCUAUAAGACUGGGAUAACUUCGGGAAACCGGAGCUAAUACCGGAUAAUAUUUUGAACCGCAUGGUUCAAAAGUAAAAGACGGUCUUGCUGUCACUUAUAGAUGGAUCCGCGCUGCAUUAGCUAGUUGGUAAGGUAACGGCUUACCAAGGCAACGAUGCAUAGCCGACCUGAGAGGGUGAUCGGCCACACUGGAACUGAGACACGGUCCAGACUCCUACGGGAGGCAGCAGUAGGGAAUCUUCCGCAAUGGGCGAAAGCCUGACGGAGCAACGCCGCGUGAGUGGUGAAGGUCUUCGGAUCGUAAAACUCUGUUAUUAGGGAAGAAUAUAUGUGUAAGUAACUGUGCACAUCUUGACGGUACCUAAUCAGAAAGCCACGGCUAACUACGUGCCAGCAGCCGCGGUAAUACGUAGGUGGCAAGCGUUAUCCGGAAUUAUUGGGCGUAAAGCGCGCGUAGGCGGUUUUUUAAGUCUGAUGUGAAAGCCCACGGCUCAACCGUGGAGGGUCAUUGGAAACUGGAAAACUUGAGUGCAGAAGAGGAAAGUGGAAUUCCAUGUGUAGCGGUGAAAUGCGCAGAGAUAUGGAGGAACACCAGUGGCGAAGGCGACUUUCUGGUCUGUAACUGACGCUGAUGUGCGAAAGCGUGGGGAUCAAACAGGAUUAGAUACCCUGGUAGUCCACGCCGUAAACGAUGAGUGCUAAGUGUUAGGGGGUUUCCGCCCCUUAGUGCUGCAGCUAACGCAUUAAGCACUCCGCCUGGGGAGUACGACCGCAAGGUUGAAACUCAAAGGAAUUGACGGGGACCCGCACAAGCGGUGGAGCAUGUGGUUUAAUUCGAAGCAACGCGAAGAACCUUACCAAAUCUUGACAUCCUUUGACAACUCUAGAGAUAGAGCCUUCCCCUUCGGGGGACAAAGUGACAGGUGGUGCAUGGUUGUCGUCAGCUCGUGUCGUGAGAUGUUGGGUUAAGUCCCGCAACGAGCGCAACCCUUAAGCUUAGUUGCCAUCAUUAAGUUGGGCACUCUAAGUUGACUGCCGGUGGCAAACCGGAGGAAGGUGGGGAUGACGUCAAAUCAUCAUGCCCCUUAUGAUUUGGGCUACACACGUGCUACAAUGGACAAUACAAAGGGCAGCGAAACCGCGAGGUCAAGCAAAUCCCAUAAAGUUGUUCUCAGUUCGGAUUGUAGUCUGCAACUCGACUACAUGAAGCUGGAAUCGCUAGUAAUCGUAGAUCAGCAUGCUACGGUGAAUACGUUCCCGGGUCU